RNAcentral lists this small RNA (133 nucleotides) under Klebsiella variicola. RNAcentral's name for it is "RtT sRNA". It matches the Rfam family "RtT RNA". From Rfam's summary of the family: This family represents a bacterial cis-regulatory element known as RtT RNA. The exact function of RtT is unknown although it is thought that it may be involved in changing the cellular response in relation to amino acid starvation. Lineage: Bacteria; Pseudomonadati; Pseudomonadota; Gammaproteobacteria; Enterobacterales; Enterobacteriaceae. RNAcentral also lists the same sequence under 3 other names. The record is from RNAcentral.
UAUUCUGCCCUACGGGGAAGGAUGAGAAGCUUCGACUAAGGUUCGACUCGAGCGCCAGCGAGAGAACGUUGCCGCAGGCAAUGGCCCGAAGGGCGAGGAGCGAUAGCGACGAGUUAUCCUUCCCCCUCUAUUC